UUUCCGUAGGUGAACCUGCGGAAGGAUCAUUAAAGAGAAUAUGCCCUUCGGGGUAGAUCUUCCACCCUUUGUUUAUAUUACCUUUGUUGCUUUGGCAGGCCCGUCUUCGGACCACCGGCUUCGGCUGGUCAGUGCUUGCCAGAGGACCCAAAACUCUUAUUAUUAAUGUCGUCUGAGUACUAUAUAAUAGUUAAAACUUUCAACAACGGAUCUCUUGGUUCUG
RNAcentral lists this unclassified non-coding RNA (223 nucleotides) under plant metagenome. RNAcentral's name for it is "partial contains small subunit ribosomal RNA, internal transcribed spacer 1, and 5.8S ribosomal RNA". The record is from RNAcentral.